AUUAAGAAGAUGCAGAUAUGGACCAGGGCUUUCUCCUUUUACAGGGUGAGUGCAGACUGGUGGAGUUCUGAAAAUAUCUGCUGGAAAGGACAGAACUAUUGAUCUGCAUUAAAGAGAACUGAGAACAACCAACCAGCCAGUAAAACAGUGACACCCUGGAGAACCUGCAGCCUUCCCUGGCAAUUAUAUGAAAGGCAAUUUGAAGAUUCUCCAAGCCACAUGGAAAACGAGUUAUCCCAGAAAUAACUUGUCUAUUCAUUAUUAAAAGCAUUUCUGCCUCUUUG
This is a non-coding RNA of Lonchura striata (white-rumped munia), 284 nucleotides long. The record is from RefSeq and is a predicted model, not a curated record. NCBI's taxonomy places the organism in Eukaryota, Metazoa, Chordata, Aves, Passeriformes, Estrildidae.